This 358-nucleotide long non-coding RNA is filed under the name Rattus norvegicus (Norway rat). Its description in RNAcentral is "long non-coding RNA NONRATT006093". Lineage: Eukaryota; Metazoa; Chordata; Mammalia; Rodentia; Muridae. The record is from RNAcentral.
CCGCCGGCCCCCGAGGGAGGAGCGGGAGCGCGCGCAGCCACCCGCGCCGCCGCCGCCCGCGCCCCCGCGCCUGGCGCUCAGCGAAGACACAGAGCCCAGCAGCAGUGAGAGCCGCACAGGCCUCUGCUCGCCAGAGGACAACUCGCUAACGCCCCUGCUGGACGAGGUGGUGGCACCCGAAGGCCGGGCAGCCACAGUACCCAGGGGUCGGGGCCGCAGCCGUGGGGACAGUUCCCGCAGUAGCGCCAGUGAGCUGCGGCGCGACUCGCUCACCAGCCCCGAGGACGAGCUAGGGGCGGAGGUGGGUGAUGAGGCUGGCGACAAAAAGAGCCCGUGGCAGCGGCGGGAGGAGCGGCCG